RNAcentral lists this transfer RNA (74 nucleotides) under Pedosphaera parvula Ellin514. RNAcentral's name for it is "tRNA-Ile". It matches the Rfam family "tRNA". Rfam says of the family: Transfer RNA (tRNA) molecules are approximately 80 nucleotides in length. The record is from RNAcentral. Lineage: Bacteria; Pseudomonadati; Verrucomicrobiota; Pedosphaerae; Pedosphaerales; Pedosphaeraceae.
CCUUUUGUAGCUCAAAAGCAGAGCACUCGCCUGAUAAGCGAGAGAACGUGGAGCGUUACCACGCGAAAGGACCA